GAUGAAGAACGUAGCGAAAUGCGAUAUGUAGUGUGAAUUGCAGAAUUCAGUGAAUCAUCGAAUCUUUGAACGCACAUUGCGCCCUUUGGUAUUCCAAAGGGCAUGCCUGUUCGAGCGUCAUUUGUACCCUCAAGCUUUGCUUGGUGUUGGGCGUCUUGUCUCUAGCUUUGCUGGAGACUCGCCUUAAAGUAAUUGGCAGCCGGCCUACUGGUUUCGGAGCGCAGCACAAGUCGCACUCUCUAUCAGCAAAGGUCUAGCAUCCAUUAAGCCUUUUUUUCAACUUUUGACCUCGGAUCAGGUAGGGAUACCCGCUGAACUUAAGCAUACAAUAAGCGGAGGA
Molecule: unclassified non-coding RNA, 340 nt
Filed under: soil metagenome
Description: partial contains 5.8S ribosomal RNA, internal transcribed spacer 2, and large subunit ribosomal RNA
Rfam family: 5.8S ribosomal RNA (bases 1-120)
Source: RNAcentral